Molecule: ribosomal RNA, 264 nt
Filed under: uncultured bacterium
Lineage: Bacteria
Description: partial 16S ribosomal RNA
Rfam family: Bacterial small subunit ribosomal RNA
Source: RNAcentral
GUCCACGCCGUAAACGAUGGGCACUAGGUGUGGGAGGUGUCGACUCCUCCCGUGCCGAAGCUAACGCAUUAAGUGCCCCGCCUGGGGAGUACGGCCGCAAGGCUAAAACUCAAAGGAAUUGACGGGGCCCGCACAAGCAGCGGAGCAUGUGGUUUAAUUCGACGCAACGCGAAGAACCUUACCUGGGCUUGACAUGUCGGUCGUACCUGUGGAAACACAGGGGUCAGUUCGGCUGGACCGUCACAGGUGGUGCAUGGCUGUCGU